Molecule: ribosomal RNA, 465 nt
Filed under: uncultured bacterium
Lineage: Bacteria
Description: partial 16S ribosomal RNA
Rfam family: Bacterial small subunit ribosomal RNA
Source: RNAcentral
GACGAACGCUGGCGGCGUGCUUAACACAUGCAAGUCGAACGGAAAGGCCCUGCUUGCAGGGUACUCGAGUGGCGAACGGGUGAGUAACACGUGGGUGAUCUGCCCUGCACUUCGGGAUAAGCCUGGGAAACUGGGUCUAAUACCGGAUAGGAGCCAUUUUUAGUGUGAUGGUUGGAAAGUUUUUUCGGUGUAGGAUGAGCUCGCGGCCUAUCAGCUUGUUGGUGGGGUAAUGGCCUACCAAGGCGGCGACGGGUAGCCGGCCUGAGAGGGUGGACGGCCACAUUGAGACUGAGAUACGGCCCAGACUCCUACGGGAGGCAGAAGUGGGGAAUAUUGCACAAUGGGCGCAAGCCUGAUGCAGAGACGCCGCGUGGGGGAUGACGGCCUUCGGGUUGUAAACUCCUUUCGCUAGGGACGAAGCUUUUUGUGACGGUACCUAGAUAAGAAGCACCGGCUAACUACGUG